GACGAACGCUGGCGGCGUGCUUAACACAUGCAAGUCGAACGGAAAGGCCCCUUUGGGGGUCCUCGAGUGGCGAACGGGUGCGUAACACGUGCGUAACCUGCCCUUGACUUCGGGAUAACUUCAGGAAACUGGGGCUAAUACCGGAUAGGAAUCCUUGCUGCAUGGUGGGGGUUGGAAAGCUUCGGCGGUUUUGGCUGGGCUCGCGGCUUAUCAGCUUGUUGGUGGGGUAGUGGCUUACCGAGGCUUCGACGGGUAGCCGGACUGCGGGGGCGACCGGCCACAUUGGGACUGAGGGACGGCCCAGACUCCGACGGGAGGCAGCAGGGGGGAAUAUUGCACAAGGGGCGGAAGCCUGAUGCAGCAACGCCGCGGGCGGGAUGACGGCCUUCGGGUUGUAAACCGCUUUCAGCAGGAGCGAAGCUUGUGGUGACGGUACCUGCAGAAGAAGCACCGGCUAACUACGUG
This 465-nucleotide ribosomal RNA is filed under the name uncultured bacterium. RNAcentral describes it as "partial 16S ribosomal RNA". It matches the Rfam family "Bacterial small subunit ribosomal RNA", at positions 28 to 507 of the family's 1533-position model. The record is from RNAcentral.